AGUUUUGCACAGUGGCAGUAUCAUAGCCAAUGAGGUUUAUCCGAGGUGUGAUUCUUGCUAAUUGAAAACUUUUCUCAAUACCCUACCAUGACGACUUGAAAUAUAGUCGGCAUUGGCAAUUAAAAAAAAAAGUUACUGUUAGCUU
Molecule: small nuclear RNA, 145 nt
Organism: Salvator merianae (Argentine black and white tegu)
Lineage: Eukaryota; Metazoa; Chordata; Lepidosauria; Squamata; Teiidae
Gene: U4
Rfam family: U4 spliceosomal RNA
About the family: U4 small nuclear RNA (U4 snRNA) is a component of the major U2-dependent spliceosome. The structure of U4 snRNA from yeast and human has been reported. U4 snRNA presents a k-turn RNA motif in the 5p-SL related to recognition of Snu13 protein.
Source: Ensembl